CUUGGUCAUUUAGAGGAAGUAAAAGUCGUAACAAGGUUUCUGUAGGUGAACCUGCAGAAGGAUCAUUAAUGAGAAUAGGGGGCUGGAUUCUUCAUCCGCCCCCGACCUUUCGAUCCACACACACCUGUGCACACACAACUAUACCCGCCUAGCUUCGGCCAAGGUGUGGUAGUCACUUUUUAACACGGUUAUUGAGUGUAAAUACAAAUCCUCCAAAGCGGGGUGAAAGUUAAAUACAACUUUCGGCAAUGGAUCUCUUGGUUCUCCUAUCGAUGAAGAACGCAGCGAAUUGCGAUAAGUAAUGUGAAUUGCAGAAGUCAGUGAAUCAUCGAAUCUUUGAACGCAUCUUGCGCCCUUUGGUAUUCCUUAGGGCAUGCCUGUUUGAGUGUCACGAAUACUGUUUGGACCAAGUCUUUUUUCUUAAUGUUAAUCGACGAGGUUCCAGCGUUGAGCGUCUGCCUCGCCUUUCGGCUUGGCUCGCUUUAAAUGUAUUAGCUGGGUUGGCUGGUUGCAGCCUUCACCUUUGGUAUGAUAAGUAUUAUGCCGUUGGUUGAGGGUAGCGCCGUUCUAUAGUCGCCUGCUUCUAAUCAAGGAGUGGUAUUGAACCUUGCUGUGCUUGCACGGUGUGGGGCGGUGCUUACUCGCACUAUAUUCAAAUCUGGCCUCAAAUGAGGGAGGACUACCCGAUGAACUUAAGCAUAUUAAUAAG
RNAcentral lists this ribosomal RNA (709 nucleotides) under Vankya heufleri. RNAcentral's name for it is "eukaryotic LSU rRNA". The stretch from base 238 to 391 matches the Rfam family "5.8S ribosomal RNA". Lineage: Eukaryota; Fungi; Basidiomycota; Ustilaginomycetes; Urocystidales; Urocystidaceae. The record is from RNAcentral.